CGCCCUGCGAGUUCCAGGCCCAGUGGGCCUGAGUACCAGACGCGGUCAUGGUUAUCUGGACGCUGCUGUUAUUGUUUCUGAAUCCCGGAACUGGGGCCUGACUCCCUAGAGAGACUGAGGGUGCCGAGAUGAGUUUCCAGUGCUGACCAGUGCAGCUGUAUUUUGCUAAAAGGUGUUUGGGGUGUUUUUUUUUUCUAACCUUUCCCCCGUUUUCUCUUCUCACCUUUUUAUUUUUACCCAUUUUUCGUCUUGCUGUUUUUUCAGUUAGAAGUGGGUGCUGUCAGUGGUGAAAUAAAAUUAGGACCGAAGCCUUUCCAGUUGGUGCUUACUCAGUCCGUGCUGACCCAUGGUCAGGGCUUGGAGCAGAGCUGUAAGGGAGGGCGGAGUCCUCCAGUAGAGGUGAGGCAAGAGCUGCAUUCUGGCAGGGUUUCCAGCCUGGCAGACGACGUGCUCUGUAAUGCUUUUCUGAAUUGCCUUAGCCAGAAGGAAUAGGGAACUGCAUAUUUCGUUUACUAGAUUUGAGGAUGUCUGCUAUGUGCCACGCUGUCUGGCAUUGGGAGCGAUUUAUGAUUUGCUUCUCUAUCAUUUACUUACUGUUUUUGCUCAGCAGUAAGAAUUGAGGACUUCCUGUGAACAUCUAGCAUGCAAACCUAUGCAAAACAGUAUUUGGGAUCCAUAGGUAAGGUCUUCUCCAAAUCCUUAAAGAUUGUCUUGUAUGAAUUCUGUUAUAGGUCAUUGCGGAGUGGAUCAAAGCAGAAAUAAGCCUCUCGGGCCAGCCCAAGACUUCACUGAAAGCAGUAACAUACCUAAAGCAGGAAUGCCUCAAUCAGGAAUUUAGCCAAGAAACAAACAAACAAAAAAAGCCUGGGAAGUAAAUAAUUUGGCAAGAUCCCUGUCUAAAGGGAAAGUCUCCUGAGCAGGUACAAAACCUAUCUUGUUCUAAUAGUGGAGGUAGUUUGGUCUAUCAAAGUUUUAUGUGAUUCUAUUAAGUCAUACAACUAAACCUAUUAUUCCUUUACUUUUCUCAAUAAGUGCAGUUCUGAAUAUUAUUUUAAUUUCCAUAUGGUUUUUCUACAAUGAGAGAACGGCUUGGCCAAAUGAAAUAAAUAGCCAUUUCCUAUGACAAUUACAUUUUUCACUGUAAAUUAAUACAUUGGUAUUUUUAUUUUUAUUUUUUUAAAAAAAUUUUUUUUUUCAACGUUUUUUAUUUAUUUUUGGGAC
RNAcentral lists this long non-coding RNA (1221 nucleotides) under Lynx pardinus (Iberian lynx). Lineage: Eukaryota; Metazoa; Chordata; Mammalia; Carnivora; Felidae. The record is from RNAcentral.